AUGGCCUUUAGGACAGAAAUAAGUGUGCAUGGAAUUAAUGUGCAAAUAUUAGAGCUAAACUUAGAAUUUGGAAUAUGCCUCUCUCUAGUAUUGCCCUCAUCACACACUCUCUCUGCCCUAAUGUAUUUUUGCUCUCUCUCUUCCCUAAUGUAUUUUUCCCUACCUUUGAAUAUUCAUUCUAUAACCACUAUACCACAUCUGUUGAAACACAUUCUGCAUUACACUCAGAACAGGUGGGGCAGGAUAGUGGAUAUGAAUAGGGAAGCAGGACCAAUUGAUGCUGAGCAAGAUUUAAAAUGAAAACAAACAGCUAGUUUAAAAAACAGUAAGGGUGUGAAUCUCAUUCUUGGGCAGAAAUGGCAAGGGGGAUUCUUUUUUUUUUUUAACCAACUGCACAAAGAUUCCCUUCUCCUGAAAAUCUUGUGGGAAAUCUCACAGGAUUUCUUGGAAGUCUUUUUUUUAACCAAUUGCACAAAGAUUCCCCUGAAUAAGAUUUUACUUCUCCUGAAAAUCUUGUGGGAAAUCUCACAGGAUUUCUUGGAAGUCUUGUCAUUUUUUUUAAACGGAAGGAAUGGCUCUUGUGCAGGAUGUCUACAAUUCCUGCAAAGAAUGGCAUCUUUUCCACCUAGAAUUUUCCCAGAAAGGACUGAAGAAACACCAAAUGGCACAGGGUUGAUGAGACUGGCUUUUCAUUUUUGUGUGGCAAGCUGGGACAGGGGAAGUUUAGCUAGUGAUUCUUGACAUGGCAAGACUCCAAGAUCACUAAGAGCAAGAUAUUUUCCCAUCACAUCCCUAGUCCUCAGUCACCAAGGGGAGGGGGGUGGAUAACCUUGGCUUUUUGAUAUCUUUUUCACUUGGAUCACAAUUACAGCUAAUCAUCUGAGAACACUUGCUCAAUUUGUAUUUCCAUCAUCAUACAGUUUAUGCAAAAAGGCACAUGAAGAAGAAUUCAAUUUUUGUAUCAAUUCGGCUCAUCAAAAAUACAGAUAAGCUUGAGCGUAAACCAAAAGACAGAGUAUACUUUUAGUAAAUAAACAACUUGUCUUUUGCUCA
This 1053-nucleotide long non-coding RNA is filed under the name Pogona vitticeps (central bearded dragon). RNAcentral describes it as "lncRNA (ENSPVIG00000002631.1)". Lineage: Eukaryota; Metazoa; Chordata; Lepidosauria; Squamata; Agamidae. The record is from RNAcentral.